Molecule: long non-coding RNA, 438 nt
Filed under: Lynx canadensis (Canada lynx)
Lineage: Eukaryota; Metazoa; Chordata; Mammalia; Carnivora; Felidae
Description: lncRNA (ENSLCNG00005015720.1)
Source: RNAcentral
GCCGGGCUGGGGAGUAGUAGGCCAGCCGGUGCCAGGCUGCGUUUGCAACCAGCACCUCUCGACACACAGGCAGCGCCGCCCGAGAGGGGCACGGGAGCCGGGGCGCGGGCAGAAGCAGCCCGAGGAAAACAACAACAGAGCCAGCCCUCACGCCGGCGGGCGGCUCGUGGCCGCCCGGGGAGCCCCAAACUUCAUCUCGGCGAAAGUCACUAUCAUAUGACAAAGGCUUUGCUGCAGUUCAUCUUCCUCCCUGUGUACUUUCCAUUUGCCUUCCCGGUGACCCUUGAAAGGUGCUUUGGAAUGAAAGAAGGGUGACCAGCAUAGUGGUCUUCAAACAUUUUCACUCCAGUAAAAGAAUUUUGAAAACUGUGGAUUCCCUCAUGUAUUUCUUCAUUGACACUUGAAAUUUUUGUCAUAAGUUUAAAUCAUUUGCUAAAG